Molecule: long non-coding RNA, 1513 nt
Organism: Papaver somniferum (opium poppy)
Lineage: Eukaryota; Viridiplantae; Streptophyta; Magnoliopsida; Ranunculales; Papaveraceae
Exons: 2
Source: RefSeq, a predicted model, not a curated record
UGCCGUAUCCCUUUCUAAACCUCUGCAAAAAUGGCGAUUCAAUGAAUCUCGAGAGAAAAACAUAGAUUUCGAGUGGUUUUUCAUCGCAAACAUAUUCUGUUGAUUAGUUAUGGUUUAUAUGGUUUUUAUCCAUAAAUAGUGGUAUUUUGUGAAGAUUUUCAAGCACAGAAGAUACCUGGUUUGCAAAUACGGUGGUUUUCUUGAAAGAUAUUGUCACUAUGUACGCGAACAUCAUGAGAAAAUAUGUGAAGAACCCAGUAAGAAGUUUUAGUUGGAGUUGUGAGAGAUUCAUAUGGUGCUAUUGAGUCUGUUGAAUUCAGGGACAAAGAUGGUUGUUGUGUGGAGUUUGAUACAGAAACUGAGAUGUGGUGUUGUGUAGGUGCAAUUGCAGGAGAUGGAGUUGAAGUGUGGAUUGAUGUGAUGAAUGGAAGAUGAAUGGGUCUAUGAAAGAAGAGGAGAUGUGCUCUGAACUAGAAUGAUGCACUCGAGAUUUUCAUGGGUUAAGCUGCUAUUGCUUUGAAUUGAAAUGCAAAGCGGUGGCAGAGAACUGAAAUUUUGAAGCUGAAUGGAUUGUGCAGGUUUAGAUGGCUCAGGUGGUGAAGCUUAAGGCUAGGAGCAAGUGACAAUGGGUUUGUUGAACUGAAGGAAAUGAAUUCAGAGAGAAUAAGAUGUACCAAAUGGUUGGAGAUGGUGGUUCUAGCUGCCGGUGAUGCUGUUGCAGGUCUAAGGGGAAUGAAAUGGAAGUAUCUGGUGCUCAUAACUAGAGUUGUUGCUGCUGUUAGUGCUAGUUCUGGAUGAAUUAGAAGCCGAGAAACAAGCCAUGAAACUGAGUUGUUGCCGAACCUAGAUGAAUGUUAGGAUAGGUACAAAUUACAGGAGCUUAAUGGGUUUGUGUUGCAGUUGAAGAUUGGUAUUGGUGGAUUUGAAUUGCAUUGCAGGAUGGUUGAUUUCUGGUGGUGAUGAAGCUGUAGAGUAGUUUGUGCUUCUAGCUGAGCUGGGUUUCAGCUGGAGUGUUCAAAUUGAAUUAAGAUGCAGGUCAUGGGUUUGAUGAUGGCUUUGAGCUAAUGGAUACUGGUGGUGUUUGGAGUAUAAUGGAACUGAGCUGGAAUGCAUUGGCUGAACUGUAGUUGGUAUGAAUGCUGUGCAGGGGAAGUUUGUGUAGCUGUUGAGUCUGGUGGUGCAGUUUAAAGCCGAGAUGUGUGACGAUAUCCAAGAAAUGAUGAUGCAGCUGUGAAGAGGAAACAUAUGGGAAUGUGAUGUUGGCAGUGCCGGACACGUCAUCGAUCAACCGGACACGUCAUCGAUCAACCGGACACGUCAUCGACAUGUUAACCCCAGUUGAAGAUGUUGAGUUAGGAUAGAGGGCAUUUUGGAGACAUUUAACACCGUUUUUUUGAAAAACUGUUAUGUCUCCCAAACUAUGACUGUUUUGUAGAUGAUUAACAAAAGUACGAUGAAUUUGUGACUGAAUUAGAAAAAGUAUGACCAUUUUGUAAAUGGCCCAUUAAAAAGA